AAGUGAUAAGUAGAAUUUAAAGUUUCAAUUUAUUGCUGUAUGUUACUACAUUCGUUUUUAAUUUUCCCUACAGCACGCUGUUAUAAUUAAAUUCUUUUCUAAAAUACCCAGUUUGUUAUACAACACAACCCAUCAUCAAUAUAUUGUUACGCUACUAUCGUAGAAUAUCGUAAAUUAGCAAAGUUCACGUAUGAUAUUAAGAAAAAAGAUGGCUGAACUUUACUUUAGGGGUACAAAAAUCAUUGGCUUCUUUAUUUGCAAUGUUAUAGUUUUUAAUAUAUACAAUUCGAAGAUGCAAGUUUUAAGAUACUAAAAUUCUAAGAUAAGAAAGCAGAGAGGAAAUUCUCUCUGGUAAAAUUGAGCAUUUUUAGGGUAUUUUAAUAUUACUUAACGCCAUAUUAGCUGCUACUUAUGAUUUGUCCAAUGAAUGGAGUCUGUAGAGCCACUGACUGCACGCGGAUGGCGAUCAUUUUGGCGGGAUAAGUCAGUCAAAUGUGUAUAACUGUAUGUAUUUUGCAUAUGUUUAGUUUCUCGGCUUGGUAUAACUUAUCCUGGCUGGUUGCAGUCAAAACAGUCAAGCAAAACAUGGAAUUUGUAUGUAGCUGAAUUUGAGUUUAAUUUGGGGUAAUAUUUAUUUUCUGUUACGUUACAUUAAUACAAACUAAUUUUUUGCGAAUUUAACUACAUCUACUGAUGGUACAUGUACACAAAAAAUAGAAUCAAAUUGCCGGCCAACUAAGAACUGGAUGUGGAGGAGGAGUUACUUCUAUGACGAUGAAUUUGUCCAUCGCCUAUGUGAAAUUUUGUGACAACUCCGUCAUAACAUUGAUUUGAUGACAUUGCUAGUUGAAACGACCCGAAAAGUCCACGGUCAUAUAUACAGAUCCGGGAACUCUGUUGGAGGAGAUAAGACUUUUAAUGUCGGGAAUUGUGCUUUACAAAUCGGCUAGCAUAGAAGACCGAUCGAGAAGUUAGGAUUUUGUAUGUAACACCAUCCUUCGAUAAAAGUAUUGAAAAUAAAGAAUAUAGAUUAAACCA
Bombus huntii is the source of this 1038-nucleotide long non-coding RNA. RefSeq lists it as uncharacterized. The record is from RefSeq and is a predicted model, not a curated record. The transcript is spliced from 2 exons. Lineage: Eukaryota; Metazoa; Arthropoda; Insecta; Hymenoptera; Apidae.